This 492-nucleotide ribosomal RNA is filed under the name uncultured bacterium. RNAcentral's name for it is "partial 16S ribosomal RNA". It matches the Rfam family "Bacterial small subunit ribosomal RNA", at positions 29 to 507 of the family's 1533-position model. The record is from RNAcentral.
AGUGAACGCUGGCGGUAGGCCUAACACAUGCAAGUCGAACGGCAGCACAGUAAGAGCUUGCUCUUACGGGUGGCGAGUGGCGGACGGGUGAGGAAUACAUCGGAAUCUACUUUUUCGUGGGGGAUAACGUAGGGAAACUUACGCUAAUACCGCAUACGACCUACGGGUGAAAGCAGGGGAUCUUCGGACCUUGCGCGAUUGAAUGAGCCGAUGUCGGAUUAGCUAGUUGGCGGGGUAAAGGCCCACCAAGGCGACGAUCCGUAGCUGGUCUGAGAGGAUGAUCCGCCACACUGGAACUGAGACACGGUCCAGACUCCUACGGGAGGCAGCAGUGGGGAAUAUUGGACAAUGGGCGCAAGCCUGAUCCAGCCAUACCGCGUGGGUGAAGAAGGCCUUCGGGCUGUAAAGCCCUUUUGUUGGGAAAGAAAAGCAGCAGGUUAAUACCCCGCUGUUCUGACGGUACCCAAAGAAUAAGCACCGGCUAACUUCGUG